This is a long non-coding RNA of Xenia sp. Carnegie-2017, 351 nucleotides long. RefSeq lists it as uncharacterized. The record is from RefSeq and is a predicted model, not a curated record. The transcript is spliced from 3 exons. Lineage: Eukaryota; Metazoa; Cnidaria; Anthozoa; Malacalcyonacea; Xeniidae.
ACUCGAUGUCAUAUCUGAAUGAAAAUAAGCGGGAAAAACAGGCCAGUGAAACGCUCUCACCAUAUGAAGGAUCGACUGCAACAUUUUCAAGAACUGCUCUUUCAAACUAUACUAAAAUCCUGCAAGGUUAAUGCGCACUUUAAAAUUUUACUCAACUCAGACGAAUGGAAGCUUCCAGCAUUGUCAGUGUCAGGCUUACGCAAACAGAAAUGACUUUUGGGAAAACUCGAGAGCAGAUCGGUACAGUUCUCAAAAACGUCCACGACAUUUAUAUAAGCCAGUGUAAACACGAAAAACAUCUUUGUUUUCUUUUAUAAAAUUAUAAUAAUGCGAAAAAGUUAAAUUUAAAAC